GGCCUUGGGCAGCUUACCAUGCAGUCGACGGCAGCACGGACUUCGGUCUGGUGGCGAGUGGCGAACGGGUGAGUAAUAUAUCGGAACAUACCCUAGAGUGGGGGAUAACGUAGCGAAAGUUACGCUAAUACCGCAUACGAACUAAGGUUGAAAGUGGGGGAUCGCAAGACCUCAUGCUCAUGGAGUGGCCGAUAUCUGAUUAGCUAGUUGGUGAGGUAAAGGCUCACCAAGGCGACGAUCAGUAGCUGGUUUGAGAGAACGACCAGCCACACUGGAACUGAGACACGGUCCAGACUCCUACGGGAGGCAGCAGUGGGGAAUUUUGGACAAUGGGGGCAACCCUGAUCCAGCAAUGCCGCGUGAGUGAAGAAGGCCUUCGGGUUGUAAAGCUCUUUUGUCAGGGAAGAAACGGUUGUGGCUAAUAUCCAUGGCUAAUGACGGUACCUGAGGAAUAAGCACCGGCUAACUACGUGCCAGCAGCCGCGGUAAUACGUAGGGUGCAAGCGUUAAUCGGAAUUACUGGGCGUAAAGCGUGCGCAGGCGGUUAUAUAAGUCAGAUGUGAAAUCCCCGGGCUCAACCUGGGAACUGCAUUUGAGACUGUAUGGCUAGAGUGUGUCAGAGGGGGGUAGAAUUCCACGUGUAGCAGUGAAAUGCGUAGAUAUGUGGAGGAAUACCGAUGGCGAAGGCAGCCCCCUGGGAUAACACUGACGCUCAUGCACGAAAGCGUGGGGAGCAAACAGGAUUAGAUACCCUGGUAGUCCACGCCCUAAACGAUGUCUACUAGUUGUCGGGACUUAAUUGUCUUGGUAACGCAGCUAACGCGUGAAGUAGACCGCCUGGGGAGUACGGUCGCAAGAUUAAAACUCAAAGGAAUUGACGG
RNAcentral lists this ribosomal RNA (881 nucleotides) under uncultured beta proteobacterium. RNAcentral describes it as "bacterial SSU rRNA". It matches the Rfam family "Bacterial small subunit ribosomal RNA", at positions 38 to 916 of the family's 1533-position model. Lineage: Bacteria; Pseudomonadati; Pseudomonadota; Betaproteobacteria. The record is from RNAcentral.